This 107-nucleotide small nuclear RNA is filed under the name Nomascus leucogenys (northern white-cheeked gibbon). The record is from RNAcentral. Lineage: Eukaryota; Metazoa; Chordata; Mammalia; Primates; Hylobatidae.
GUGCUCAAUUUGGCAGCACAUGUACUAAAAUUGGAAGGAUAUAGAGAAGAUUAGCAUGGCCCUUGUGCAAGGAUGAAACACAAAUUUAUGAAGUGUUACAUAUUUUU